CAAAGCCACCGCCCCCUCUCUCUGCCUCCUAUUUAUCCUUCUCUUUUCUUUGCUUUCGUCCAUCGUCCAUUCCAGUUCGACAAUUGAAGAGAGAAGUUGUUAGACAAAACAUUUGGUCUCAGCCAUAUAAAUUCCAAAACAGAGGGCAAUUGCCAUUGGAAUUCCAACAGAACCGUGAACUUGAAGAAAAGAAAGUGUGCGUUACCAGUGGUGUAUCCUUCAUUAGUAUUGCCAUCGUCAAUCAGCUAUUACUCCGUGGAUACUCUGUAUGAGUCAUCGUCGAAAAACAAGGAGAUCGAGGGUCGAAAAUCAAAGUGUUUUAUUUGUAGCGGGAUGAAGACAUUUUGGGGACACUGCACGACUGAGCAUCUAUAUAUUUGAGUUCAUUCACGCUGUUGAGGUUAAUUUAAAGGGGG
This is a long non-coding RNA of Capsicum annuum, 416 nucleotides long. RefSeq lists it as uncharacterized. NCBI's taxonomy places the organism in Eukaryota, Viridiplantae, Streptophyta, Magnoliopsida, Solanales, Solanaceae. The record is from RefSeq and is a predicted model, not a curated record. The transcript is spliced from 4 exons.